This 879-nucleotide ribosomal RNA is filed under the name uncultured Syndiniales. Its description in RNAcentral is "SSU rRNA". It matches the Rfam family "Eukaryotic small subunit ribosomal RNA", at positions 613 to 1518 of the family's 1831-position model. Lineage: Eukaryota; Dinophyceae; Syndiniales. The record is from RNAcentral.
UUGCGGUAAAAAGCUCGUAGUUGGAUUUCUGUUGAGGACGACCGGUCCAUACCACGUAUGCGCAUCUGGUUCGGCCUCGGCAUCCUCUCGAAAGACGUUUCUGCGCUUGAUUGCGUGGGGCGGAUCUCGGGACUUUUACUUUGAGGAAAUUAGAGUGUUCACGGCAGGCUAUCGCCAGAAUACAUUAGCAUGGAAUAAUACUAUAGGAUCUUGAUUCUAUUUUGUUGGUUUCUAGGAUUGAGAUAAUGAUUAAUAGGGACAAUUGGGGGCAUUCGUAUCAACACGUCAGAGGUGGAAUUCUUGGAUUGUGUUGCGACGAACUACUGCGAAAGCAUUUGCCAAGGAUGUUUUCAUUGAUCAAGAACGAAAGUAAGGGGAUCGAAGACGAUUAGAUACCUUUUUAGUCUUUACCAUAAACUAUGCCAACUAGAGAUGGGGCAUCGUUCACUUACGACUUGCUCCGCACCUUAUGAGAUAUCAAAGUUUCUGGGUUCCGGGGGGAGUAUGGUCGCAAGGCUGAAACUUAAAGGAAUUGACGGAAGGGCACCACCAGGAGUGGAGCCUGCGGCUUAAUUUGACUCAACACGGGGAAACUCACCAGGUCCAGACAUAAUAAGGAUUGACAGAUUGAUAGCUCUUUCUUGAUUUUAUGGGUGGUGGUGCAUGGCCGUUCUUAGUUCGUGGAGUGAUUUGUCUGCUUAAUUGCGUUAACGAACGAGACCUUAACCUGCUAAAUAGACGCGCCUAUCUCCGGAUAAGCGCCUGUCUUCUUAGAGGGACUGUUUGCGUUUCAGCAAGCGGAAGUUUGAGGCUAAAACAGGUCUGUGAUGCCCUUCGAUGUUCUGGGCUGCACGCGCGCUACACUGAUGCGUUCAACGA